Molecule: ribosomal RNA, 253 nt
Filed under: uncultured prokaryote
Description: partial 16S ribosomal RNA
Rfam family: Bacterial small subunit ribosomal RNA
Source: RNAcentral
ACGUAGGGUGCAAGCGUUGUCCGGAAUUAUUGGGCGUAAAGAGCUCGUAGGCGGUCUGUCGCGUCGGCUGUGAAAUCCCGAGGCUCAACCUCGGGUCUGCAGUCGAUACGGGCAAACUGGAGUGUUGCAGGGGAGACUGGAAUUCCUGGUGUAGCGGUGAAAUGCGCAGAUAUCAGGAGGAACACCGGUGGCGAAGGCGGGUCUCUGGGCAACAACUGACGCUGAGGAGCGAAAGCCAGGGGAGCAAACGGGA